UGAGGAAUAUUGGUCAAUGGGCGUAAGCCUGAACCAGCCAAGUCGCGUGAGGGAUGAAGGUUCUAUGGAUCGUAAACCUCUUUUAUAAGGGAAUAAAGUGCGGGACGUGUCCCGUUUUGUAUGUACCUUAUGAAUAAGGAUCGGCUAACUCCGUGCCAGCAGCCGCGGUAAUACGGAGGAUCCGAGCGUUAUCCGGAUUUAUUGGGUUUAAAGGGUGCGUAGGCGGCCUUUUAAGUCAGCGGUGAAAGUCUGUGGCUCAACCAUAGAAUUGCCGUUGAAACUGGGAGGCUUGAGUAUGUUUGAGGCAGGCGGAAUGCGUGGUGUAGCGGUGAAAUGCUUAGAUAUCACGCAGAACCCCGAUUGCGAAGGCAGCCUGCCAAGCCAUGACUGACGCUGAUGCACGAAAGCGUGGGGAUCAAACAGGAUUAGAUACCCUGGUAGUCCACGCAGUAAACGAUGAUCACUAGCUGUUUGCGAUACAGUGUAAGCGGCACAGCGAAAGCGUUAAGUGAUCCACCUGGGGAGUACGCCGGCAACGGUGAAACUCAAAGGAAUUGACGGGGGCCCGCACAAGCGGAGGAACAUGUGGUUUAAUUCGAUGAUACGCGAGGAACCUUACCCGGGUUUGAACGCAUUCGGACCGAGGUGGAAACACCUCUUCUAGCAAUAGCCGUUUGCGAGGUGCUGCAUGGUUGUCGUCAGCUCGUGCCGUGAGGUGUCGGCUUAAGUGCCAUAACGAGCGCAACCCUUGCCACUAGUUACUAACAGGUAAAGCUGAGGACUCUGGUGGGACUGCCAGCGUAAGCUGCGAGGAAGGCGGGGAUGACGUCAAAUCAGCACGGCCCUUACAUCCGGGGCGACACACGUGUUACAAUGGCGUGGACAAAGGGAAGCCACCUGGCGACAGGGAGCGAAUCCCCAAACCACGUCUCAGUUCGGAUCGGAGUCUGCAACCCGACUCCGUGAAGCUGGAUUCGCUAGUAAUCGCGCAUCAGCCAUGGCGCGGUGAAUACGUUCCC
This 1019-nucleotide ribosomal RNA is filed under the name uncultured bacterium. RNAcentral's name for it is "bacterial SSU rRNA". It matches the Rfam family "Bacterial small subunit ribosomal RNA", at positions 355 to 1375 of the family's 1533-position model. The record is from RNAcentral.